Triticum aestivum (bread wheat) is the source of this 124-nucleotide non-coding RNA. Lineage: Eukaryota; Viridiplantae; Streptophyta; Magnoliopsida; Poales; Poaceae. The record is from Rfam.
AAUAUACUCCCUCCGUAUGGAAAUACUUGUCUUAGAGAUGAUUGUAUCUAGACUUAUUUUAGUUAUAGAUACAUCCCUUUUAUCCAUUUCUAAGACAAGUAUUUGCGAAUGGAGGGAAUACUCA